This is a long non-coding RNA of Oryzias melastigma (Indian medaka), 654 nucleotides long. RefSeq lists it as uncharacterized. Lineage: Eukaryota; Metazoa; Chordata; Actinopteri; Beloniformes; Adrianichthyidae. The record is from RefSeq and is a predicted model, not a curated record. The transcript has 3 exons.
AGUCAAUAGGGAAAAACCUUAAAACGCACAUAAUAAUGGCAAUAAAUAAAAUUUUAAGUGCUUCAAUUAAUUAGCAACAUCCCUAAUUUUACAGUGAAUUUGUGUACUUUAUUUUAAUUAAUAACGAAACGACGAAAAGGCGAAUGACGGUGUCGCAGCCCAGAGCGCACGUUGAUUAUAGAGCAUGCUUUUGGAAUGAUGAAGACAAGAUUCAGAUCCAUCCUCUUGCAAGCGCUGGAGGUGCAUCACAUCUUUAUACCUCAUGUUGUCGCAGCUUGUUCCAUCCUCCACAACAUCUGCUCCUGUGCUGACGACACCGAAGCCCCAGAGGAUGAGCCAGAGGACGAUGUGGAGGUGAUGGUGAGGAGGAGGCUGGUUUGGAGGCCACCAGCUGUGCCCUCUGGCGGGACCAACUACCUGAUGAGGUUUUUGUCCUGGGUACCACCAGACCUUGAUUACUGGUAACAGCAUCCGUUGACUGCCAGCCCUGCAAACCCUGAAGAUGGAUGAUGCAGUCUACAGUGAAGAUGCAUCCUUAAACUCUGCAGACCAUCCUGCAAGAUGUUCCAAUCACCACCCAGAAAGCUCCAGUCCCAGGUCUCAGUCGAAGCCCCCCAUCCAUGUCGACUAUCUUUGUAAAUAGUUGGAAAUAAA